This 518-nucleotide ribosomal RNA is filed under the name uncultured bacterium. RNAcentral's name for it is "bacterial SSU rRNA". It matches the Rfam family "Bacterial small subunit ribosomal RNA", at positions 8 to 518 of the family's 1533-position model. The record is from RNAcentral.
AGGGUUCGAUUCUGGCUCAGGAUGAACGCUGGCGGCGUGCCUAAUACAUGCAAGUCGAACGAGGGUGCUUGCACCCUAGUGGCGAACGGGUGAGUAACACGUAGGUAACCUGCCCUUAAGCUUGGGAUACCCAGAGGAAACUUUGGCUAAUACCGGAUAACAACAGAUGAGGCAUCUCAACUGCUUGAAAGGCCCUGCAAGGGGUCACUUAAGGAUGGACCUGCGGCGCAUUAGCUAGUUGGUGAGAUAACAGCCCACCAAGGCGAGGAUGCGUAGCCGAACUGAGAGGUUGAUCGGCCACAUUGGAACUGAGACACGGUCCAAACUCCUACGGGAGGCAGCAGUAAGGAGUUUUCGGCAAUGGGGGAAACCCUGACCGAGCAACGCCGCGUGAGUGAUGAACCGGCCCUAUGGGUUGUAAAGCUCUUUUAUUAGAGACGAAUGGUGGGCUUAGGAAAUGAAGUCCACUUGACUGUAUCUUUUGAAUAAGCCACGGCUAACUACGUGCCAGCAGCGGC